GGUCAUCGCCAACAGGGCUCACACCUUAUUCAAAGGAAAAGAGACUGGCUCUGGCACCACUGACACAGGAACCAAUAAGUGAUCAACCAGAAAAAAGCACAAGAAAAAAAUGGAGCAAUGAUGAAAAUACCUUUCUGCUAGAACAAGCAGCAAGCUCAAAAGUGCACAGCAAUAUAUUUUGGAAUGACUGUGCCAAAAGACUCAAAGAAAAACUAUCAACUUCACGUUCAGGAGAAUCUUGCAGACUUUAGUACAAAAGGAUUCGAUCGAGAA
Long non-coding RNA from Haliotis rubra (blacklip abalone), 273 nucleotides. RefSeq lists it as uncharacterized. Lineage: Eukaryota; Metazoa; Mollusca; Gastropoda; Lepetellida; Haliotidae. The transcript has 3 exons. The record is from RefSeq and is a predicted model, not a curated record.